This 888-nucleotide ribosomal RNA is filed under the name Sedimentibacter sp. enrichment culture clone B413. RNAcentral describes it as "bacterial SSU rRNA". It matches the Rfam family "Bacterial small subunit ribosomal RNA", at positions 8 to 916 of the family's 1533-position model. The record is from RNAcentral. Lineage: Bacteria; Bacillati; Bacillota; Tissierellia.
AGAGUUUGAUCAUGGCUCAGGACGAACGCUGGCGGCGUGCCUAACACAUGCAAGUCGAACGAAGUAUAUUUUCGGAUAUGCUUAGUGGCGGACUGGUGAGUAACGCGUGAACAAUCUGCCCUGUACACAGGAAUAGCCUCGGGAAACUGGGAUUAAAACCGGAUAACACUUUCUGGCCGCAUGGCUGGGAAGUCAAAUUGAUUUAGAGGUACAGGAUGAGUUCGCGUCUGAUUAGCUAGUUGGUGAGGUAACGGCUCACCAAGGCGACGAUCAGUAGCCGGCCUGAGAGGGUGAACGGCCACACUGGAACUGAGACACGGUCCAGACUCCUACGGGAGGCAGCAGUGGGGAAUAUUGCACAAUGGAGGAAACUCUGAUGCAGCGACGCCGCGUGAGUGAAGAAGGUCUUCGGAUCGUAAAACUCUGUCCUUGGUGACGAAAAAAAUGACGGUAGCCAAGGAGGAAGCCCCGGCUAACUACGUGCCAGCAGCCGCGGUAAUACGUAGGGGGCGAGCGUUGUCCGGAUUUACUGGGCGUAAAGGGUGAGUAGGCGGUAAUAUGUGUCAGAUGUAAAAGGCUAUGGCUUAACCAUAGUUGGCAUUUGAAACUGUAUUACUUGAGUGCAGGAGAGGUAAGUGGAAUUCCUAGUGUAGCGGUGAAAUGCGUAGAUAUUAGGAGGAACACCAGUGGCGAAGGCGACUUACUGGACUGUAACUGACGCUGAGUCACGAAAGCGUGGGUAGCAACCAGGAUUAGAUACCCUGGUAGUCCACGCUGUAAACGAUGAGUGCUAGGUGUUGGGUAGCGAUAUUCAGUGCCGAAGUAAACACAAUAAGCACUCCGCCUGGGGAGUACGGUCGCAAGACUGAAACUCAAAUGAAUUGACGG